RNAcentral lists this ribosomal RNA (497 nucleotides) under uncultured bacterium. Its description in RNAcentral is "partial 16S ribosomal RNA". It matches the Rfam family "Bacterial small subunit ribosomal RNA", at positions 28 to 507 of the family's 1533-position model. The record is from RNAcentral.
GGUGAACGCUGGCGGUGUGCCUAAUACAUGCAAGUCGAGCGGAAAGACGAGGAGAUUGUUCUUUUACCGUUAGCGGCUGACGGGCGAGUAAGGAGUGGAUCAGAUUCUUCUUUGUCUGGGAUAAUAUCGGGAAACCGGUGCCAAUAAUGGCUCAUAUAUUGUACCGCAUGGAUCAGUAGUUCUUGACGCCUUUGCUGUUUCUAUUAGCUGGUUUCGUGUUGGAUUAGCGAGUUGGUAAGGUAACGGCCUACCAAGGCGACGAUGCGUAGCCGACCGGAGAGGAUGAGCAGCCAAACUGGAAGUGAGACACGGUAGAGAAUACUAAGGGAGGCAGCAGUGGGGAAUAUUGGACAAUGGGCGCAAGCCUGAUACAGCCAUACAGAGGGGGUGAAGAAGGCCUUCGGGUUGUAAAGCCCUUUUGUUGGGAAAGAAAAGAAGCAGGUUAAUACCCCGCGGUUCUGACGGUACCCAAAGAAUAAGCAACGGCUAACUUCGUG